UUCUUUCGCUGCUCCGAUAUCAAACUGCUCGCUGCCGUGACUCACGGACGGCCCGAGCGGCGACGCCAGCGCCUCCUCGGCGCCGCUGCCCGCACUCGCCCGUCUCUAUUGUCUUUCGCACCGCAUUGUUGAGCACCUUGCAUUGUUGUCGUGGCAUAGGGGUGCAGCUGGGGCUAUGCGGGUGCCGGCGGCACUUCGUUUCGGGCGAAACCGUUUUACAGAGCACCAGACAAUACUGAACGCUUGUCUAAGUGGGCAAGGAACUGCCACCUGAGGAACGAAUUCGCCGGCAUCGUUUGCUCCACACAACAGAGCAGCGCGGCAGUUGUGCGGAGAGAAGACGUCCAAGAGGGAGCCGCUUGUACCCAUGGCACACCUAUCAAUUAAAUUUUUAACUUUUAAGAGGAAAAUUCUGCAAAUUCACUAACCAAGAGAGUUGCAAGAAACACAAGAAGACCGAGUUGUGCCA
Long non-coding RNA from Cloeon dipterum, 469 nucleotides. RefSeq lists it as uncharacterized. The transcript has 3 exons. Lineage: Eukaryota; Metazoa; Arthropoda; Insecta; Ephemeroptera; Baetidae. The record is from RefSeq and is a predicted model, not a curated record.